UACGUAGGGUGCGAGCGUUAAUCGGAAUUACUGGGCGUAAAGCGUGCGCAGGCGGUUAUGCAAGACAGAUGUGAAAUCCCCGGGCUCAACCUGGGAACUGCAUCUGUGACUGCAUGGCUGGAGUGCGGCAGAGGGGGAUGGAAUUCCGCGUGUAGCAGUGAAAUGCGUAGAUAUGCGGAGGAACACCGAUGGCGAAGGCAAUCCCCUGGGCCUGCACUGACGCUCAUGCACGAAAGCGUGGGGAGCAAACAGG
RNAcentral lists this ribosomal RNA (253 nucleotides) under uncultured bacterium. RNAcentral describes it as "partial 16S ribosomal RNA". It matches the Rfam family "Bacterial small subunit ribosomal RNA", at positions 524 to 776 of the family's 1533-position model. The record is from RNAcentral.